This 301-nucleotide ribosomal RNA is filed under the name uncultured bacterium. Its description in RNAcentral is "partial 16S ribosomal RNA". It matches the Rfam family "Bacterial small subunit ribosomal RNA", at positions 509 to 807 of the family's 1533-position model. The record is from RNAcentral.
CAGCAGCCACGGUAAUACGUAGGGUGCAAGCGUUAAUCGGAAUUACUGGGCGUAAAGCGUGCGCAGGCAGUUAUAUAAGACAGAUGUGAAAUCCCCGGGCUCAACCUGGGAACUGCAUUUGUGACUGUAUAGCUAGAGUACGGCAGAGGGGGAUGGAAUUCCGCGUGUAGCAGUGAAAUGCGUAGAUAUGCGGAGGAACACCGAUGGCGAAGGCAAUCCCCUGGGCCUGUACUGACGCUCAUGCACGAAAGCGUGGGGAGCAAACAGGAUUAGAUACCCCUGUAGUCCCUGUCUCUUAUAC